Molecule: transfer RNA, 63 nt
Filed under: Podarcis lilfordi (Lilford's wall lizard)
Lineage: Eukaryota; Metazoa; Chordata; Lepidosauria; Squamata; Lacertidae
Description: tRNA.Arg
Source: RNAcentral
GAGCUAGCUCAGUUGGUAGAGCAUGAGACUCCUAAUCUCAGGGUUCAAACCCUGCAUUGGACA